This 492-nucleotide ribosomal RNA is filed under the name uncultured bacterium. RNAcentral's name for it is "bacterial SSU rRNA". It matches the Rfam family "Bacterial small subunit ribosomal RNA", at positions 28 to 517 of the family's 1533-position model. The record is from RNAcentral.
GAUGAACGCUAGCGGCAGGCCUAAUACAUGCAAGUCGAACGAUACCAGAGAGCUUGCUUUCUGGGAAAGUGGCGCACGGGUGCGUAACGCGUAUGCAACCUACCUUAAUCAGGGGGAUAGCCUCUCGAAAGAGAGAUUAACACCGCAUAAAAUCACACUUCGGCAUCGAAGAAUGAUCAAAUAUUUAUAGGAUUAAGAUGGGCAUGCGUGACAUUAGCUAGUUGGUAAGGUAACGGCUUACCAAGGCUACGAUGUCUAGGGGAUCUGAGAGGAUGACCCCCCACACUGGUACUGAGACACGGACCAGACUCCUACGGGAGGCAGCAGUAAGGAAUAUUGGUCAAUGGGGGCAACCCUGAACCAGCCAUGCCGCGUGCAGGAAGACGGCCCUACGGGUUGUAAACUGCUUUUAUACGGGAAUAAAUCUCGCUACGUGUAGUGAGUUGAAUGUACUGUAAGAAUAAGGAUCGGCUAACUCCGUGCCAGCAGACG